UACAUGGGGUGCAAACGUUGCUCGGAAUUAUUGGGCGUAAAGCGCACGUAGGCGGUUUGUUAAGUCGGAUGUGAAAUCCCUCGGCUCAACUGAGGAAGUGCAUCCGAAACUGGCAGGCUUGAGUACUAAAGAGGGUCGCGGAAUUCCCGGUGUAGAGGUGAAAUUCGUAGAUAUCGGGAGGAACACCGGUGGCGAAGGCGGCGACCUGGGUAGAUACUGACGCUGAGGUGCGAAAAGCGUGGGGGAGCAAACAGG
Molecule: ribosomal RNA, 255 nt
Filed under: uncultured bacterium
Lineage: Bacteria
Description: partial 16S ribosomal RNA
Rfam family: Bacterial small subunit ribosomal RNA
Source: RNAcentral